GACGAACGCUGGCGGCGUGCUUAACACAUGCAAGUCGAACGGAAAGGCCCUGCUUUUGUGGGGUGCUCGAGUGGCGAACGGGUGAGUAACACGUGAGUAACCUGCCCUUGACUUUGGGAUAACUUCAGGAAACUGGGGCUAAUACCGGAUAGGAGCUCCUGCUGCAUGGUGGGGGUUGGAAAGUUUCGGCGGUUGGGGAUGGACUCGCGGCUUAUCAGCUUGUUGGUGGGGUAGUGGCUUACCAAGGCUUUGACGGGUAGCCGGCCUGAGAGGGUGACCGGCGGGGGGGGAGCAGCGGCACGGGGGAGACUGGGAGGGGGGGGAGUAGGGGGGCAGGGAGCACGGGGGGAGAGAGGGGGGGGCAGGCACGGGGGGGGGGGGAGGAAGGGGUGGGGGGUGUAAUCCGGUGGGGGGUGGGAGGGGGGGGGGGAGACGGAGAGGAGUAAAGAAGCACCGGCUAACGAGGGGACAGCGGCCGCGGUAAUAGCCGGAGGAGAACCCGUCCGACC
This 509-nucleotide ribosomal RNA is filed under the name uncultured bacterium. Its description in RNAcentral is "partial 16S ribosomal RNA". The stretch from base 20 to 332 matches the Rfam family "Bacterial small subunit ribosomal RNA", at positions 47 to 358 of the family's 1533-position model. The record is from RNAcentral.